GCAGCCUGUAUCAUGCUCCUUCUACCCUUUCUUUCCUUCCUCCAUCCCACUGCUUGGAAAGUGGACACGGGGGUGAAACCACUCUGGGCCACGCAGAAAGGGGCCACGCCCUAGGGAGGGGGGCAGCAGCAAGAGAGGAGGUAUCUGAUGCUUGACAUCGAGUCCCCACCUACCAGGCCUGGCCAGGAACACUAACUCCAGGCUGUGCCAGAGAGCUGGUAGCCCCUUUGAGCCACCUUUACUUUGUGUCUCUGUCACCAGAGCCAAACUUACACCCUACCAAAUAAACCAGUUCAAAUAAGCUAAGGCAGAAGAGCCUCCGUAGCAGGUGUUGGCAGUUUGAGGGUUCUGGUCCACCUGAAUUAAGCUCAAUACAAGGGUGCUGUGUGCUCAGAACAUCUGGUGCAAAAUCAGGCUGCAUUAACAGAAGUGUGGAUUCUCGACUAGGGGAAGGCAUCUGCUGGAGUCCAUACUGGCUGCCUUCCCAUUUUAUGGGCUUUAACCAGCUGGGGCUCAUCAAGGCAAGCAUCCUGGAUGGGACCAGAGGCACCCAAGGAGAAGGAAACGGGGCUGUUUGGCCUGAAGAACCGUCAGAAGUCUCCAGCAGAGCCCCGCAAAAGCUGCCAAGAGCCGGUGGCAGGGCAGGAAAGGCCAAGGCCUGGGAGGCAGGGGACACGAAGCAGCCAUCCCGGGGACAGGCCCAGGAAAUGCAAGGAGAAACGCCAGGAGCAAGCUCACCACCCACGGGCCACUGCCGUCCAACAGGACACGAUGGAGUUCCGUGUGUGAGUCAGGUGGUUGGGCUUCCCCACCCAGCUUGCUGGGCCUGCGGACCUGCACACCCGCCAGGACAUCCCUUUCCCUCCCGCACUCCGCCGGCUUGGGGAGCUCCCCGGCCUCCAGUCUCAGCGCUGCUGUUCCCUUCCAUGAUUUAUGACUGUGACUCCCACACACACUCCGGAGCAGGAAAACCCAGCGCACUGUUCACAAAUUAAAUCCAGCCCUCCUCUCCUCCCAGGCCUUCGAGGGCAGUGCCCUGGUCCCGCCCUCAGCCCGAGGCUCAGAACAUGCCAUCUCUGGGUAGGGCGUGUGCACUUCGUUCUUGACACAAGCCAGUCAACCAGCAGCCACGCUGAUGGACGGGCAACACUGCUGUGCUGACAACUAGGAGUGACAAAGCCCCGGCUGCCCCGCAGGACAUCAGCCUCACCUCCAGGCCCCACGGGCAGCAUUCUGCUUCUCAGCCCACCCGGUACCCCUGCAGCCCCUCUGCCUGCGAGACGUUGUCCCGGCCCAAUCCCCUGGUCAAGCCCACGCACGCUCCAAGACUCAGCUCCGCCCCAGCUCCCCCGGGCACUGCCUUCCCCGGGACGUCCCCGCGCAGGCUGGCAGAGCACCCGGUACGUACCUGGGCCCUCACUUCUGACUGCUCACGCACCUGUUUCCCACCACACGGAGUCUGUUUAGGGUAAGUCGCUUAGGAAAGCGGCUGGCACGGACAAGUGCCCCGUGAGCAUAUGCUAUAGUGCUCCUGUUGUCGUCGUUACCCUUGUGUCUCCGGUGCCCGGGACAACGCCUGGGCCAGGGCUGCUCAGUGCACACCUGUCAGAUGAGCUGCACAAAAGCACCAUCAGAUCUGAGCCUCAUGAUAAGGGGGGCCAGUGGGGGUGGGGCAUGGGUUUACCAGGAUUGUUCCCAUUUUACCGAUGAGGGCACUUUGGCUCCAAGAAGUCUUGGCUCCUCGCCUUUGUUCCCCUUACCAAAUUCAAAGUGCCUCCUAGAAGCAGGCAGGGGAUUCUGUGUGUGGCACGUCCCUAGUGGACAGCCACAAGGAACAAAAAUAGCCCCAUACUCUGUGCCGGGCAUCACGGGGGGCCCAUUUAAACCCCACGCAGCCUGGCACGUCAGGAUGAGGACCCCAUGCUGCAGAGAACAGAACCAAUGCCCCGAGAGGGGUACCUGCUCCAGAGGGAGGUCACGAAAGCCCCAGCUCCCCUAGGGCAGCCUCGCCCUCCGCAGGCUCUCCCGAGGGACGGCACGCUGACCCACUGGAGCGCUCAGGCAGGGGGUGGGAGAGGAGGCAGAGAGUUAUAGGGAAGAUG
Molecule: long non-coding RNA, 2102 nt
Organism: Felis catus (domestic cat)
Lineage: Eukaryota; Metazoa; Chordata; Mammalia; Carnivora; Felidae
Exons: 3
Source: RefSeq, a predicted model, not a curated record